This 339-nucleotide long non-coding RNA is filed under the name Amborella trichopoda. RNAcentral's name for it is "long non-coding RNA (ATRI_LNC002026)". The record is from RNAcentral. Lineage: Eukaryota; Viridiplantae; Streptophyta; Magnoliopsida; Amborellales; Amborellaceae.
CGUGACAUAAUUUUUAUAUACAAAUAUUUCUUUACUUACCUAAAAGAAAUUAUGUCCCUUGAAAUACUCUUUUCUAGUGAAUUCUUAAGAUGCACAUUCUUUUGUAUAUUAGGCGAGAGCAACACCUUUUUUAUUAUCGUCCCACUGCGUCUUUUUUCAUUCAAUUCUUAUCUCUCUCCCUCCAAUAUUUUUACACUCUCUCUCUCUUUUAUUUCUCUUAAUUUACUUUUACUUUCCAUCUCUCCUACAUUUUUCCUAUUAUCUCUCUCUCCAUCCUAUAUGCAUGCAAAUAUAUAAAAAUAUAUAACUCUUUUUGUUGUGUGAUGACAACUCAUCUUC